UCUAAUCACGGACACGUUGCUAGGCAACACACACGUCAUCACAGAGCCUCUCACGUGACUCACCAGGAAGUCCUGAUCACAGACGCCGGGAACAGCUUGCCUUCCUCCUGCAUGCUAUUUAAAAGGUCAGAUCUUCUAGCCUCAAGGCAGUGUUCCAGCAACUAGGAGACAACAUUGGACACAAAUGAAACAGACAGGAAGAGUAGCACCAGAUACUGUAUGUAACUGGAUGCCAGUUUAGGAAAACGACACAGACAAGAUAAAUCCUGACACGUAAUCCUGGAAAAUGUAAUCAAUGCAGAGUGAUUUGGAACACACAGCUAUUUGCUCAUACGGUAGCACUAAGGGAGUACCCAGCAAAUAACCACGAAUCAGGAUAAAUAAUCACAGGAUGUAUAAAGUGCUAUUAUCCGGUGUGUCAGGCAAUCCACUUACGCCAAUGACUGCAGUACAUUGAGCACCUAUAAUGGGUGCAGUGAGUGCGGUGUACACGGGCCCCUGGGGCCAUGGGGGCCCACAUCGCACACACUACACCCAUGUUUAAUUACUUACCUUUCCGGGGUCCCGCAUCAUCUGCGCUGCAGCCAGGACAAAAAUCACCGGCAAAAUGGCCACCGCACCUGCGCAGUAGUGAUUUGUCACUGGAAUAUGGCUGAUGCCAUGUUUCAGAAGAUCUGAGCAUGUGCAGUAGGCUCUGGUGCAAUGCCAGAGUCUACUGUGCUAUGCAGAAAAGGGGGGCCCCUGGGAGUCUGCACAAGGCCCCCCCCCCCCCCUCUGUUAAAAUGCCCCUGACUGCUGUACCAGUUGUCCACUCACUAAAUGAUGGAAUCACAUGGCAAUUGAAACAACUGAGUGAGUAUGUAGUGUGUCAUACAAAAUGUUGACAGAAUGUUACCAUGGUGUUAAUGUUAACAUACAUAAUGUUGACAUGGGUGCAGGGCCGGUGCUAUGGUGUCCGGUGCCCUCCUGCAAACUGUAAAUUUGCGCCCUCCCUCAGACACAGAUGGGGGCAGGUGAUACAGUAACUGGGACGGAACACAGGCGGGAGGGUUGACACAGUGGGGGAGAUUCAAUUGUUUGAAAAGUCGGUUGGGUGUCUGUUUUUCCUAUCUAAUAGACAGGAGAAACCAGACACCCAACCGACUUUUCAAACAUUUGAACUCCCCCCAAUGACUGGGACAGAACACAGGGGUGAUGACACAAUGGCUGGGACAGAAUACAAAGAGGGGUGACAUAGUGACUGGGACAUAACACAGGAGUCGUGUCAGUGGCUGGGACAGAACACAGUGACAGAACAGGGAGGAGUGACAGAACACAGGGUGGUGACAAUGGCUGGGAUAGAAUACAGAGGGGGGUGACAUAGUGACUGGGACAGAACACAGAAGUCGUGCCACUGGAUGGGACAGAACACACAGAGGGAGUGACGAUAACAGAACACGUGGGGGUGGGGUGACAGUGACUGGGGCAGAAUGUAGAGGGGUGUGUGUGACACUGACAGAACACAGGGUGGUGACAACGGCUGGAGGUGACAUAGUGACUGGGGCAGGAUGCAGAAGAGUUGUGUGACACUGACAGAACACGGGGGGGGGGGGUUACACUGUGAGAACACAAGGGUGGUGACACAGUAAGAAGUUGCUGUGUCCCAAAUGGCUUGUGACCUCACCUCCCAGAAUCCUAACAGGUCCCUCUACUGUGUCCCACUCCACUGUUGUUGCCUCAUAGUAGUGUGCGGUUUCCAUGGUGACCUGGAGUUAAGUGUAUGUUAAUACAGCUGCUUGCGCCCACGUUCCCUCCUCCUGCACAUUGACCAACUGCACUCACUCAGAGCCGCGACCAUCAGCGCCCGUUUGGAAUGCCGAGUUUCUGUCUAAAGUGCUACCCGUUUCAGCACACGGACUGUGCGCUGACACCUGCAGCUGUGAGGACUCUAGG
Long non-coding RNA from Pseudophryne corroboree (corroboree frog), 1932 nucleotides. RefSeq lists it as uncharacterized. The transcript is spliced from 3 exons. The record is from RefSeq and is a predicted model, not a curated record. NCBI's taxonomy places the organism in Eukaryota, Metazoa, Chordata, Amphibia, Anura, Myobatrachidae.